Molecule: long non-coding RNA, 1242 nt
Organism: Molossus molossus (Pallas's mastiff bat)
Lineage: Eukaryota; Metazoa; Chordata; Mammalia; Chiroptera; Molossidae
Exons: 6
Source: RefSeq, a predicted model, not a curated record
GUGGUUGCCACCCGCAGACCAACCAGGGCCGGGGACAAACUGCAACCGAGCCAUAAGAAAAGAUGAAAUGCUGUCACGUGCAACUACAUGGAUGGAUCCUGAGAAUAUCAUGCUAAGUGAAAUAAGUCAGACAGAAAAUGUUAAGAAGCAUAUGAUUUCACUCAUGCGUGGGAUAUGAAACAAACAAACAAGAGCUCAGACACAGACAACAAUAUGGUUCUCCAAGAAGCAGAUACCAAGAUGGAAUGAGACAUGCAGUAAAUUUAUUGGGGAAAAAUUCCUGUGGGGGAAAAAAGGGAGAGAACUGGAGGAGCUAUGAAACUUGUCAGACCACCAUCUCACAUCUCACCUGUAGAGAGAGGGGAAGAAGAAAGAUUUGCCUGGAACUCAGGGCUGGCAAGCAGUGAUUCUUGAAUGAAUGACAGUGUGAAUGGUCAUAGAGAGCAAAUACGUGCUGGAAUCUACUGGAAUAUUAGAAAAUUUCUCAAGAAAACAUAUAUUAACUUUAAGGUGCUUCCACCACUAAAAUUCUCUUGAGAGGAACUACUUCAACCGGAGUUCAAUGUGAUAGCAUAAACUACUGCAGAGCUGAGCAGUGUGCAGAACGUGUGUGAUUGUCAAAUGGGGAACACGGAACAUUCUAACCUAAUGAGAGUUUUCACUUCCUGGGGUGACCUGUUUGUACUCUGUGCCAAAAGACCUCUGAGAGGCCUACAGCUGCUUUCAGUUUGUCAUUCAGACAUGAAGUGCACCCCUCCAGCAGCUGUAGAGCUCCCCCAACCUUCGCUCUGCUUAUACUCAGCAAAGGGGCUCUUUAAUCUCUGGGCUUGAGAAAAAAAUUUAUUAAGAAAAGAAUGGGGCCCCAGAAUUCCUGGGGUGAGCUUUAGGAACACAGCAGGUGGUGGCCAAAAGGCCAUGACAAAAUUAAGUAAAAAGAUUCUGAUUCUUUUCAAGCCUAUGCAUGAUUAGCAGAGUACAGACAUGUGGGAUACAGCUGUCCCUUAGGGAAGAUCACAUUUUUCAUCUCCAAGAAUGAAGGGCAACUUUCCAUCUAAUGAAUUUGGAAGAUCUCUUGGCAGGUUGUUUUGUUAUAAGUUAGCUAUCUCCAGUUAUACUUUGUUUUUAUUCUUUUGUGAAACCAACUCCAUCCUGACGGGCAAUUCUGAAAGCUCUUCUAAAGUGUUCAAUAGGAAAUGAGAUUUCUUUUCUUUCUUUCUUCUUCUUAUUUAUUUUUAUUUUACU